GUCACCAACAUCCCACCUCAUCCACACCCAAAUUCUGUCUUCAGCUCUGAUUUUGCAAAUGUUCCGAGAAGAAAAAACGUGACUGUGCCAUUCUGAUCACUUGCUCUGGGGUAGCUGGCUGCCAUGUCCUGAGGAAUCUUCAGAAUCUCUAUGGAGAAGCCUACCUGGUGAGGAACAGAAGUCUUUGGCUGAUAGCCAGUGAGGACGGAGGCCUGCUGCCAACAGUGACAUGAGUGACCUUGGAAGUGAGUCUGCUAGCCCCAGCCAAACUUUCAGAUAACUGCAGCCCUACUGACAUCUUGAUGGCAGCUUCAUGAGAGACCCUGAUCAACAACCACCCAGCUAAGUUGCUCUUGAAUUCCUGACCAACAGAAACAGUGAAUGAGAGUUCCUCUUGACCCAUACAUAUCCUUACCAGCAUUUGGUAUUUCAGUGCUCUGGAUUUUCACCAUUCUAAGAGAGAGAGACACAGUGAGAGAG
Callorhinus ursinus (northern fur seal) is the source of this 480-nucleotide non-coding RNA. Lineage: Eukaryota; Metazoa; Chordata; Mammalia; Carnivora; Otariidae. The record is from RefSeq and is a predicted model, not a curated record.